CUCAGAGAACCCCAUUUCAAAUUAUUUCUGCCUCGAACAUGCAAGCCUGCUUGACUAUUACCCUUUGCCUGUGUACAACAUGUUUGGUCUGUCUCUAAUAGCCACUCCUUUCCUUCAGAAUGUCUGAUAUAAGUGAGAGCAUCAAGGACGCAGUCAUUUCUGUCCUGCCAAGUGUGCCAGAAGAAACGAUCUUACACCAGGGAGUGGAAAGCAAAGAUGACUUGCAGUACAUAAGAGAACAGGAAAUUGCAGAGGUUAAUCGACCAAUCCAGUGCAGAAAACAUUUAAAUGCAUGGAAAUGAGCAGAAUGUCUGAUAUAAGUGAGAGCAUCAAGGACGCAGUCAUUUCUGUCCUGCCAAGUGUGCCAGAAGAAACGAUCUUACACCAGGGAGUGGAAAGCAAAGAUGACUUGCAGUACAUAAGAGAACAGGAAAUUGCAGAGGUUAAUCGACCAAUCCAGUGCAGAAAACAUUUAAAUGCAUGGAAAUGAGCAGAAUGUCUGAUAUAAGUGAGAGCAUCAAGGACGCAGUCAUUUCUGUCCUGCCAAGUGUGCCAGAAGAAACGAUCUUACACCAGGGAGUGGAAAGCAAAGAUGACUUGCAGUACAUAAGAGAACAGGAAAUUGCAGAGGUUAAUCGACCAAUCCAGUGCAGAAAACAUUUAAAUGCAUGGAAAUGAGCAGAAUGUCUGAUAUAAGUGAGAGCAUCAAGGACGCAGUCAUUUCUGUCCUGCCAAGUGUGCCAGAAGAAACGAUCUUACACCAGGGAGUGGAAAGCAAAGAUGACUUGCAGUACAUAAGAGAACAGGAAAUUGCAGAGGUUAAUCGACCAAUCCAGUGCAGAAAACAUUUAAAUGCAUGGAAAUGAGCAGAAUGUCUGAUAUAAGUGAGAGCAUCAAGGACGCAGUCAUUUCUGUCCUGCCAAGUGUGCCAGAAGAAACGAUCUUACACCAGGGAGUGGAAAGCAAAGAUGACUUGCAGUACAUAAGAGAACAGGAAAUUGCAGAGGUUAAUCGACCAAUCCAGUGCAGAAAACAUUUAAAUGCAUGGAAAUGAGCAGAAUGUCUGAUAUAAGUGAGAGCAUCAAGGACGCAGUCAUUUCUGUCCUGCCAAGUGUGCCAGAAGAAACGAUCUUACACCAGGGAGUGGAAAGCAAAGAUGACUUGCAGUACAUAAGAGAACAGGAAAUUGCAG
Anguilla rostrata (American eel) is the source of this 1192-nucleotide long non-coding RNA. RefSeq lists it as uncharacterized. NCBI's taxonomy places the organism in Eukaryota, Metazoa, Chordata, Actinopteri, Anguilliformes, Anguillidae. The transcript has 6 exons. The record is from RefSeq and is a predicted model, not a curated record.